RNAcentral lists this ribosomal RNA (112 nucleotides) under Caerostris darwini. The record is from RNAcentral. Lineage: Eukaryota; Metazoa; Arthropoda; Arachnida; Araneae; Araneidae.
AACGGCCGUACCAUGCUGAAUAUACCGGUUCUCGUUAGAUCACCGAAGUCAAGCAUCAUUGGGCGCGGUCAGUACUUGGGUGGGUGACCACCUGGGAACGCUGCGUGCCGUU